GUCCUUUUGAAAUUGAUUUAAGGUCUAGUCUGCCCACUGAAUUAAUUUAAAUGGCCGCAGUAUUUUGACUGUGCAAAGGUAGCAUAAUCAUUAGUUUUUUAAUUAGAAGCUUGUAUGAAAGGCUUGACGAAAUAAAAUCUGUCUCUAUUUAAAUUAUUAUAAAAUUUAAUUUUUAAGUUAAAAAGCUUAAAUAUUAUUAAAAGACGAGAAGACCCUAUAGAGUUUUAUAAAUUAUUUAAUUAAAUUAAUUAAGAAUUAUUAAUAUUUUAUUAAAUAAUUUAUUUUAUUGGGGUAAUAUAAAGAUUUAAAUAAUUCUUUUUUUUGUUAACAUUGAUUUAUGAAUUUAAUGAUCCAAUUUUAUUGAUUAAGAGAUUAAAUUACCUUAGGGAUAACAGCGUAAUAUUUUUAAAGAGUUCAUAUCGAUAAAAAAGUUUGCGACCUCGAUGUUGGAUUAAAAAUUAUUUUAGGUGUAGAAGCUUAAAAAUUUUGGUCUGUUCGACCAUUAAAUUUUUACAUGAUCUGAGUUCAGACCGGUGUAAGCCAGGUCGGUUUCUAUCUUUAAUUAAUUCAAAUAUUUUAGUACGAAAGGACCAAAUAUUUAAUAUAUUAAUAUUUUAAUUUGAAUAUUAUUAAUUUA
This 637-nucleotide ribosomal RNA is filed under the name Scaphinotus petersi. RNAcentral describes it as "partial large subunit ribosomal RNA". The stretch from base 388 to 547 matches the Rfam family "Bacterial large subunit ribosomal RNA", at positions 2473 to 2632 of the family's 2925-position model. The record is from RNAcentral. Lineage: Eukaryota; Metazoa; Arthropoda; Insecta; Coleoptera; Carabidae.